Molecule: ribosomal RNA, 253 nt
Filed under: uncultured bacterium
Lineage: Bacteria
Description: partial 16S ribosomal RNA
Rfam family: Bacterial small subunit ribosomal RNA
Source: RNAcentral
UACGUAGGGUGCAAGCGUUAAUCGGAAUUACUGGGCGUAAAGCGUGCGCAGGCGGUUUUGUAAGACAGGUGUGAAAUCCCCGGGCUUAACCUGGGAACUGCGCUUGUGACUGCAUAACUCGAGUGUGGCAGAGGGGGGUGGAAUUCCACGUGUAGCAGUGAAAUGCGUAGAGAUGUGGAGGAACACCGAUGGCGAAGGCAGCCCCCUGGGUCAACACUGACGCUCAUGCACGAAAGCGUGGGUAGCAAACAGG